AGGGGUGUAGCUCAAUGGUAGAGUGUGUGCUUAGCAUGCUUGAGGUCCGGGGUUCAAUCCCCAGUACCUCCA
Molecule: transfer RNA, 72 nt
Filed under: Camelus ferus (Wild Bactrian camel)
Lineage: Eukaryota; Metazoa; Chordata; Mammalia; Artiodactyla; Camelidae
Rfam family: tRNA
About the family: Transfer RNA (tRNA) molecules are approximately 80 nucleotides in length. Their secondary structure includes four short double-helical elements and three loops (D, anti-codon, and T loops). Further hydrogen bonds mediate the characteristic L-shaped molecular structure. tRNAs have two regions of fundamental functional importance: the anti-codon, which is responsible for specific mRNA codon recognition, and the 3' end, to which the tRNAs corresponding amino acid is attached (by aminoacyl-tRNA synthetases). tRNAs cope with the degeneracy of the genetic code in two manners: having more than one tRNA (with a specific anti-codon) for a particular amino acid; and 'wobble' base-pairing, i.e. permitting non-standard base-pairing at the 3rd anti-codon position.
Source: Rfam by way of RNAcentral